CUGAACGCCUCUAAGUCAGAAUCCAUGCCAGAACGCGGUGAUACCACCCGCACGUAUAGAUGGACAAGAAUAGGCUUCGGCUUAGCGUCUUAGCAGGCGAUUCUUCCACGGCGCUCGAAGCGCGUCGUGGUAUUUCGCGUAUUGUAAUUUCAACACGAGCGGGGUCAAAUCCUUUGCAGACGACUUAGCUGUGCGAAACGGUCCUGUAAGCAGUAGAGUAGCCUUGUUGUUACGAUCUGCUGAGGGUAAGCCGUCCUUCGCCUCGAUUUCCCCAAUGGGUUCUCCGGAUUUCUGGAGACUUGUAGGGGUUGUGGGUUUUUUCGAUGUGUCGUCUCCGGACGGGCGGUGCAGGGUAGUCGAGUUAGACUUGGUGGAAUUCGAUUCCGUCGAGUAUGGCUGGCACGAUCGUGUGCGGUUGUGUGUUGGACGGUGCAGGGUAGGCUGCUUGGACAUGGUCGGUUCGAGGAUCGAUUCGAGGGCCGGCCUGUCGAUGAUGUGUGAUGUAUGCGGUCUAGGGUAGGCUGGUUUGUCUUGGUCCAAUUUGAUGUCGGCUCCCGUGCAGGCUAGAGUGAGGGGGGUCCAGGGUAGGUACAGGGUAGGCAGCUUAGAUUUGGUCGAUCUGGAGGUCGAUUCUCCGGCUGGUGGAUCUGACCCUGUCGAAACGAGAUGCGAGCGGUGUAGGGUAGGCUAGUUUCGUCCUCGCCAGGUUGCGAUUUGGACGAGAUAUGUGGUCUAGGGUAGGCUCUAGGGUAAGUAGAAUUCGAGUUUCGUCGCCGACAGUUUUCUGUGGGUGUAUGGUAGGUACAGGGUAGGCAAAACUCUCUCCGGCCAGUACUUGUCUGGUGGUCGUGAGUCGAUUUUUUUGUUUUGCCAUACUAUUGAAUUUUGCGGAAAUUCAAAAGUGGCUCGGGAGUCCCGCCUGGCGUGCGUCCGACUCGAACAUCGUCGGUGUACAUAUGAGAGGGAGUAAUCCGGCCCGGCCGGGGCCCAUCGCGAGCUGCCGGGUAGGUAAAAGUAAAAAAGUUGUUAAGAGGCGCGGUGUCGGCGUGCUUGUAUUUGCGGGAGAGAAUUAUCUGGAGGUGCUGGGUAGCCGGGAAGACUUGGACGGAUCUGGCCCGGGAAUGGGUCUGGGCCUGGAUUCUGGUGUGGUGUAGGAUAGGCGUAGAUAGAUGAGUGGUCUAGGGUAGAUACAGGGUAGCCAGAAGUCUGGUAUAUAGUGUGGGGGGUGUAGGGUAGGUCUGGACACCGUUUUCCACUUCGCCCUUCCCUUUACUCGAGGGAGGACGAUCUUGGCUGGGAUGGAGGUGUAGGGUAGGCUUAAUUUACGAUUACAUGAUCUGUGUCACUCUAGGGUAGGUGAAAAUCCCAUAUAUAUCUGAUCACAUUUGGAGAAGAGGUGGUUUGGCUGGUGAGAUGGACAAAAGUGCAAUGUAGAAUUAUAUGUGAUUUUGCAAAAGUGGGUGUGAAAUUGGGAAAUCGGUUUCCCCGCACAAGAUGAGAGCACGUUUGAGGUGCCAUGAGAUGCACCUCUCCGAGACGACCUCAACGGUACCACCGAUGUGUUGGUCCGGCUCCUGUGCGGCCGUCCAGGGCGGGAUAUGUAGAGAAUGUGGUGGUGUAGGGUAGGUGGCCAGGUCCAGGGUAGGUUCUCCAAAUCCGUCAAUCCGGCUUGAAUCGAAGGACAGGUCUAGGGUAGGCCAGAGUCGGGUCUAGGGUAGGCAGCUCUCACCCUCGAAGUGGUCUACCCGGUAGUCAACUUCAAUCGCCUCUCACGGCCGCCACGGACCUCGCAUGACGACGGGACCACCACCAUCGGAUUUGCCUUGGUCGAAAUAGUCGGUAUAUGCACUUUUGCAAAAAUGCGUGCAAAAUGGUUUUGUGGUUUGGUGGUCGUGAGUCGAUUUUUUUGUUUUCCCAUACAAAUGAAUUUUGCGGAAAAUAAAAAGUGGCCCACGAAGCAGUUCUGGCGUGCGGCCCACUAAAACGGUCUCGGAGGGUAUAUGAGAAGGGAGCAAAUCCGGCCGAGCCUGAAAGGGUGAGGACAAACCGGGCGAGCAACCUCUCAGUAUCAGAUCUUGCAGACUUCCACUGCGUGUCCCUCUGUACAGCUUUGCAGGCUCCGGCCUCGGCAGCGGGGGGUUCAUAGUGGUCGUCGACCUCCACGAAACUGCACGCUCCGGCGUGACAGCGUACUGGGGAUGCCUGUGUAGAUGCAGUCCGGGCUUGCCUGGACCGCUAGCAGAUGGGCUCUGUGGAUGACUGGCCGCUGGCUAGACCUGAAACCUGAGCAACGGGAGGUAACCUCUCGCCGCGGACACCGGAAUGGUAGAAGCGGCGUGCUGCGUCCUCCUCUUGGGGCCCCUAAGCCACACCUCCCAUAGCGGGUUCGGUGCGGCGGACGGACGCCCUGGGGAAUUUAGAGGGGGAAAGCGGAUUGCCCUAGCGGUGUUGUUGGCCCUGCCGACCUCACUGCGAAAGGCGCGACUUCACCGUCGCCACCCAGUAACUUGUCUCUCCGGCGCUUCACGGCGCUGGUGGCCAACCCCGGCACACGAUAGUUACCUGGUUGAUUCUGCCAGUAGUCAUAUGCUUGUCUC
Molecule: unclassified non-coding RNA, 2597 nt
Filed under: Fusarium oxysporum f. sp. dianthi
Lineage: Eukaryota; Fungi; Ascomycota; Sordariomycetes; Hypocreales; Nectriaceae
Description: partial contains 28S ribosomal RNA, 28S-18S ribosomal RNA intergenic spacer, and 18S ribosomal RNA
Rfam family: Eukaryotic large subunit ribosomal RNA (bases 1-271)
Source: RNAcentral